AAACGACGUUGUUUUGAAGGAGGGAAAACGACGUCGUUUUGGGAGGAAAAAAAACGACGUCGUUUUGAGUAAGCUGGUAGGAUAUAAAUGGGGGUCGGGGAGGAAAGAAAAAAAAGAAAAGAGAAAAGCAGGGAAGGAAGAGAGUAGGAAGGAGAAAAGAGGAGAGGGAAUAAGGUUCCAAAAGAGAGAGAGAGGGGAGUCGGAGCG
RNAcentral lists this long non-coding RNA (207 nucleotides) under Carica papaya (papaya). Its description in RNAcentral is "long non-coding RNA (CPAP_LNC007796)". Lineage: Eukaryota; Viridiplantae; Streptophyta; Magnoliopsida; Brassicales; Caricaceae. The record is from RNAcentral.